GAAUCCUUCUAACCGAUGGAGAGGUUACCUUUUUCUCUAAAUUUUAUUAGUCGAGAGAUUACUUUGGCUUCAGAACUCCUACCCUCGUUUCUCAUUUCUCUCCUAAAUCCGCUAGAUACUCCUUGCUCAUCCGCAUCAGCUGAGAAAAUUCGAUUCAACCAUUUUCCGAUCUCGAAACUCUCCUUCUCUCAGAUCUUAGCUCUCCUCUACCUCUCUAAUGGCGAUGAGAGGUGUCGAUUUCAAGUGGUACGAUGGGUUCUUCUUGUCGAUGCUUGCCACCAGUGUAAUCAUUGUUGCUAUCAAUUGGAAGAGGUAUAGUUCGUGCGAUUACCCUUUGCAUAUUUGGAUUGUGGUCGAUUACACCACCGUCUUUAUCUUCCGCGUCUUUAUGUUUGUUGACAAUGGUCUUGCUGCUGGACUUGGCUUGGAUUUUGGAAGUCAACAACGGAACAUUGGGUUUUGGGGGAGAGUGGUGGUGCUAUCUGUCCUAUCUCUGCUGCUGUAUCCAUUUCUGUGGGCUUGGACUGUUAUCGGUACUAUAUGGUUUACAAGGGCAAAAAGCUGUUUACCUGAAGAUGGCCAAAAAUGGGGUUUCCUCAUAUGGCUCAUGUUCAGCUACUGUGGCCUCCUCUGCAUUGCUUGCAUCUGUGUCGGAAAGUGGCUGGCGCGAAGACAGGUGCACUCACUGCGUGCGCAGCAGGGAAUUCCGAGUUCAGAGUUUGGUAUUGUGGUUGACAUGAUCAGGGUACCGGACUGGGCAUUUGAAGCGGCAGGCCAAGAGAUGAGAAGCAUGAGUCAAGAUGCUGCUACUUACCAUCCUGGACUUUACUUGACUCCGGCUCAGACAGAAGCUGUUGAGGCACUCAUUCAAGAACUUCCAAAGUUCAGGCUAAAAGCUGUCCCAGAUGAUUGCGGCGAAUGCUUAAUCUGCUUAGAGGAGUUCCAAAUUGGGCAUGAGGUUAGAGGAUUACCAUGCGCCCAUAAUUUCCAUGUGGAGUGCAUAGACCAGUGGCUGCGUUUGAACGUCAAAUGUCCUCGGUGCCGGAGCUCGGUCUUUCCAGACCUUGAUCUCAGCGCAUUAUCCAACCUCCAGAGCUCAGAAGCACAACACCCCUCACAAGGGAACACAGAAGCUCGGUACAUAAGAAGCCAACCACAAAGCGAGAGCUAUUUCUUGAGACUUCAACCCGUAAUUCACCCUGUCCACACAGACAUAGCUCUGGAGACUGCAGAGAAUGUUGGAGUUCCUCCUUUUUUGGCCGGUGGAUCUCAGUCUAGGAGAUGAGAAAAAUAAGUGCGAGUCUGAAAAUUCUACUCAUUACUAACUCUUUGAUUGAUCGAAGGGUAGAAAAAAAACACAUUUGGAAUCUACCCCGAUCCCCUUCAAAAAAAAAAAAUCUUGGGGGGCUUUACAUGAAGAAUUGUUUGUUCAGACUCUUAACGGUAGAGAAUGUUCGUAUAUCUUUACUUAGUUAUGGUUUCAGGUUGACAACAAUUUUCUAUUUUGUUUACCCAAAUCAUGUGAAUUGGUUUCAAAAACAUACAUUAUAUAUAUCGAAGUUAAUAUGCAUCAU
This is an RNA transcript of Brassica rapa (field mustard), 1574 nucleotides long. It is a transcript of the gene named E3 ubiquitin-protein ligase SIS3, with no coding region annotated. The record is from RefSeq and is marked provisional. NCBI's taxonomy places the organism in Eukaryota, Viridiplantae, Streptophyta, Magnoliopsida, Brassicales, Brassicaceae.